Oncorhynchus masou masou (cherry salmon) is the source of this 3345-nucleotide long non-coding RNA. RefSeq lists it as uncharacterized. The record is from RefSeq and is a predicted model, not a curated record. The transcript has 2 exons. Lineage: Eukaryota; Metazoa; Chordata; Actinopteri; Salmoniformes; Salmonidae.
CCUCUUUUUAUUUUGUCUUUAUUUAAUCCGUGGACAAAAGCACAUCCUCACCCUAGGCCAGCCUCAUGGUGUUUAUUCCUUCAAAGCUCGCCAUACAGACUGUGUUGAAAUAGCAUGCAUAUCUCAAGUUGUGAUUAGUAGUCACAGAGGCUAUAGUGUUGAUUUUUAAACCUGUCUCAAAUAUUAAUUGAGAGAGGAAAUGUGUCCUUUGAGACUCCUAUAGGGGUGGGAAUUACGUGUGUGUGGAAAACAAAGCACCAAAUGUCUGUCUGAAGGACCCUCUGUGUGUCUGUCUGCUGGUAGUUUGUGCAGCAGGUUUUAAUUUCAGGACCGGCCAAUUGACUUGGAUUAGCUUGUUUUCUCUUUGCCACUGGGUGCCUCUAGUCCACUAUUUUCUGUCUCUUUGACUCUCUCUCUUCCUCUUUCAUUCUUUCCUUGCAAGAACAUACUCAUUAUUCUCCCAACUCCUAUACAAAACUUAUCGUUAAGUAAAUAUUCUCCUCCUUUUUUUCCUGAUACUUUGGGAGGUGUUGGUGCCAUCUGGUGUCGAAAUCCUGAACAUACCAGAUGGGAACCUUCUCAACUGAAGCUGCCUGUCUCAUGUGGAUAUUAUAACCACAUUAAAGAGAUUUUGGAAAUUAAGCCCUGUAUCUACUACCCCGAGGUAGCUGUUCCUGUGCAUUUUCAGUCAUGAGCUAACAAGUUAGUUUUGUCUCGCACCUUUUAACUUCUUGCAUACUGAACAUAUAGACAUCAGAAUGGUAUCCCAGAGUUCAUCGGAGUCUUGAGAAGUCGAUGGGCUUCAUUGGAAAAAUAUCAAACAUCCCUUUAAAGCAUGUUUGUGGACUGCCAAAUUUACUCACUGAAGUUGUGGACUUUGCUUUGUAAUGUGUGUUCGAGAAGAGGUGGAAGGUCGGGUGUUCUGAGAAGUGUGUGUGUGUGUGUUUAGAUCUAUGCUCAUGAGGAUGAUGAUGAUCUUGAGGAAGAGCAUCCUGUGUUGAAUAUAAAGAGACCAUCGAGGAGAUCCUCUCAUAGUCGACCAGACGGUUCCUACAAGCGAUGAUUCUGUAAUAUACACUAAGCCUAUCCAUCUCACUGGGUUUGUGGUGCGAUGGAGUAGUGUUUAGCUUGAUAAUCACCUUUUUUGUGGAUAGUGUUAGUCAUGUUAAAUAUAUUUAAGGUUUAUUUGGAAUUGUACACAUCUGCAGCUAAAAGCUGCGUAUAAGUAAAUGAGAUGUAGUAUACAAUUAGUUAAGCAGUCUCACAAAGUAAGGCUUAGACGAAUGUCUUAAUUCACUGGGUUCUCUACAUCCACUAUUUAAUAUAUGUUUGGGAAGCUACUCUCGUGUGGGUGGGUGUGUCCUCCCUUUCACCACGCCACCUGCUGCCACGGCCUUCCUCAGCUAUAGUCAACAAUGAACACUGCACAGGUGACAGGUCUCACCUUCUUCCCCCUCCCAGAGAGGCAAGGACCAAAGCACCUCCGCUUCUAGUGAGCUUGUGAUGUCCUGAGUAAACUUCCCUCUGAUCCAUUUGUCAGUCUUCCCUCUAUUUAACUUCCUUUCGCCUCUCUCCCCCCUCUGUCAUUUUCCAGGAAGUCCCUAAGGAACCUAAGCCUAUAUCGGCAGACAAGCCAAGCUCUAAGCCCUCUCCCUUACUGCAGGGCCUAGCCCAUGCCCAGCCCACUAGGGCUAUCCAUCAAGAUGUCCUAACAGCCAAGGCUGAGUCUCCCUCACCCAGACAGACUCAGGUUCCCAGCUCAGGCGGUGGGGUUCUCUGUGGUUACUUGUCACUUCACUGUCGCUAUGAACUGUUGUUGUCGCUAUGAACUGUUGUUGCACGGAUUGAUAUUGGAAGUUGUUCAAUGGGUGUACACGGCUAAUGAUCACGUAGUCACAGUGGUGUCUUAGUCAUCGUAAGAUAUGUGGGACUGUGCCAUUUUGCGCAUAUAUUUUUCUUAUUGCCGAACCUUAAUGUUGAAGAGUCUAGUUUUGUCUAGUACUCUAAAGUCUCUACUGUGUCUUACCCUCUGUCCCUGACCGAGCCUUCCCCCUGAAUGUGAAUGCUGCUGCGCUCUGGGUUCAAAUACUUUUUUUUUUCUUCUUUUUUUAAGAGAGAAGUGAAUGAGAAAAUAUGUAAAAUAAUAUAAACACAUUUACAACUGUAGCAAUCAUAUGACUGUUGGGUGGUGGGGGCAGGGGAAUGUCCAUAGUAGUGCAGCAGGGGGGAGUGAGAAGUAAUAAAACCUUUAUUUAUUUACGCUGUGCCAAUGAUAAAUGCCCAUUGGGGGGUGGGUGUGUGCAGGGUAAAUGUUUGUUGGGGAGGUGAAGGAAGCGGUGAGAACAGGCCCGUGGCUUGGGUUUUAUCUUGGCCAUCCUGUGACACCUGGUGUUCUGGAGGGCAGGCAGAUGGAGGAAGUAGGAUGUCCAAUUAAAAACACAUCUUUUGACGAAUCAGGAGAUUUGUUAAUUGUGUAGAUGCUCCUCUAAGAAAAGGAUGGUCCAAAUUAGGAUGACUAAAUCAAUGUAGGCCAGAGACAAAAAGUGGUUUUAAAAAAAACAGGAAAAUAGCAUUGCUUCAGCUAGGCAGGUUGCUGUGCGAGAAUUGAGGCUAAACUGACAGGUUCACCGUUGAACUCAUCUUUCUUCUGAAUCCAGAGGACAUAGAACAAUAGAGAAACGUCUUUGCAGACUACCACCACAACAUGCAAAAUCCUCAAGUUCCUGUGAGAAAGUGGCACCACACUGUCAACAGUUUAUGAAAUCCAAAAAAGACCCCACUGAACGAUUCAGAACAUGAAGAAUCAUAUUUGUCUUGGUAAAAUGGAUUUUUAUAAAAUAAGGAAGUGAAAGAUCAUCACUAAACCGUGUUUUCACCCACUCAGAAUGGGUUGACACCCUAGAGGAAGCCAAAUGAGGUGUGGCAAGAAACGGCGGAAACCAAAAAGGAAGAGAGGAAGUAGAGGGGGUGGCUGGUUGUAGAGGAACUCUGGAAGGUAUGCUCACUACUCUUCUAUAGUUCUAGCUAGUCUCUAGUCUCCGUAUUAAACGGGAUGAGCUACAUGUCAAUGUUUGGCUCCAAUGGGCAUACCUUUGAUGCCAGCCUGAUUUGGUUAACUGAACAAGGUUGGAUGAUUUGAUCUACUUCAAACUGAGUUUGAAUGGGUUUGGGAACAAUGCCUACCUUGUGUAAACGGGUGAGUGCAGCACAAAGCAAAACAUCUCGACUGUUUCAAUUCAGUGGACAAGUUUGACCUCUGGUGUAAGGAGAACGCCCUGGAAGAUUUCUCUCUGCCACCAAGACCAAGACCUUUUCACCCACUUAAAAAAUAAAUGUUUGAUUUUG